GUACACGCUGUGACUAGCAUAUCAAUAAGCGGAGGAAAAGAAACUAACAAGGAUUCCCUUAGUAACGGCGAGUGAAGCGGGAAGAGCUCAAAUUUGAAAUCUUCAAGGUUUUACCUUGACGAAUUGUAGUUUAAAGAAGUGUUUUCUGUUGAAGUUUUGGUAAAAGUUCUUUGGAAUAGGACAUCAUAGAGGGUGAGAAUCCCGUAUUUGACCAUUAUUUUCAGCUGUGUGAUACACUUUCAAAGAGUCGGAUUGUUUGGGAAUGCAGUCCAAAAUGGGUGGUAAAUUUCAUCUAAAGCUAAAUAUUGGCGAGAGACCGAUAGCGAACAAGUACCGUGAGGGAAAGAUGAAAAGAACUUUGAAAAGAGAGUUAAACAGUACGUGAAAUUGUCAAAAGGGAAGCGUUUGACACCAGUGCUGUUUUCUCGAAAAUCAAUUAAAAAAGGCAGGAUUUUGUGUUGUAUUGACUUUAUCAGCUUUCUGCACUCUUUUCUUGUCUUUUUUAAUGCACUUUUCGUUUAACAAGUCAACAUCAAUUUCUUUUGUUGUAAAAGGGUCAUUGGAAGGUGGCUUUCUUUUCGGAGAAAGUGUUUAUAGCCUUUGGCCUCUGCAAUCGGAGAGAUUGAGGUCUGCAGCGUAGAUCCUUCGGGGUUAGAUACAUUUGUGCUAAGUUAUAGCCUUUCAUAGACAACUUGUUGACUAUGAUCAGUCAUGUAGCUUACUCGCUUAUGCUAUUUUACCUACGCUUAGGAUGUUGAAGACUCUACAGAGAUA
RNAcentral lists this ribosomal RNA (774 nucleotides) under uncultured Neocallimastigales. RNAcentral describes it as "partial large subunit ribosomal RNA". It matches the Rfam family "Eukaryotic large subunit ribosomal RNA", at positions 22 to 622 of the family's 3401-position model. Lineage: Eukaryota; Fungi; Neocallimastigomycota; Neocallimastigomycetes; Neocallimastigales. The record is from RNAcentral.